GACGAACGCUGGCGGCGUGCUUAACACAUGCAAGUCGAACGGAAAGGCCCUGCUUUUGCGGGGUGCUCGAGUGGCGAACGGGUGAGUAACACGUGAGUAACCUGCCCUUGACUUUGGGAUAACUUCAGGAAACUGGGGCUAAUACCGGAUAGGAGCUCCUGCUGCAUGGUGGGGGUUGGAAAGUUUCGGCGGUUGGGGAUGGACUCGCGGCUUAUCAGCUUGUUGGUGGGGUAGUGGCUUACCAAGGCUUUGACGGGUAGCCGGCCUGAGAGGGUGACCGGCCACAUUGGGACUGAGAUACGGCCCAGACUCCUACGGGAGGCAGCAGUGGGGAAUAUUGCACAAUGGGCGGAAGCCUGAUGCAGCAACGCCGCGUGCGGGAUGACGGCCUUCGGGUUGUAAACCGCUUUCGCCUGUGACGAAGCGUGAGUGACGGUAAUGGGUAAAGAAGCACCGGCUAACUACGUGCCAGCAGCCGCGGUGAUACGUAGGGUGCGAGCGUUGUCCGGAUUUAUUGGGCGUAAAGGGCUCGUAGGUGGUUGAUCGCGUCGGAAGUGUAAUCUUGGGGCUUAACCCUGAGCGUGCUUUCGAUACGGGUUGACUUGAGGAAGGUAGGGGAGAAUGGAAUUCCUGGUGGAGCGGUGGAAUGCGCAGAUAUCAGGAGGAACACCAGUGGCGAAGGCGGUUCUCUGGGCCUUUCCUGACGCUGAGGAGCGAAAGCGUGGGGAGCGAACAGGCUUAGAUACCCUGGUAGUCCACGCUGUAAACGGUGGGUACUAGGUGUGGGGUCCAUUCCACGGGUUCCGUGCCGUAGCUAACGCUUUAAGUACCCCGCCUGGGGAGUACGGCCGCAAGGCUAAAACUCAAAGGAAUUGACGGGGCCCCGCACAAGCGGCGGAGCAUGCGGAUUAAUUCGAUGCAACGCGUAGAACCUUACCUGGGUUUGACAUGGAUCGGGAGUGCUCAGAGAUGGGUGUGCCUCUUUUGGGGUCGGUUCACAGGUGGUGCAUGGCUGUCGUCAGCUCGUGUCGUGAGAUGUUGGGUUAAGUCCCGCAACGAGCGCAACCCUUGUUCACUGUUGCCAGCACGUUAUGGUGGGGACUCAGUGGAGACCGCCGGGGUCAACUCGGAGGAAGGUGGGGAUGACGUCAAGUCAUCAUGCCCCUUAUGUCCAGGGCUUCACGCAUGCUACAAUGGCUGGUACAGAGAGUGGCGAGCCUGUGAGGGUGAGCGAAUCUCGGAAAGUCGGUCUCAGUUCGGAUUGGGGUCUGCAACUCGACCUCAUGAAGUCGGAGUCGCUAGUAACCGCAGAUCAGCAACGCUGCGGUGAAUACGUUCCCGGGGCU
Molecule: ribosomal RNA, 1346 nt
Filed under: uncultured bacterium
Lineage: Bacteria
Description: partial 16S ribosomal RNA
Rfam family: Bacterial small subunit ribosomal RNA
Source: RNAcentral